Molecule: long non-coding RNA, 1856 nt
Filed under: Triticum aestivum (bread wheat)
Lineage: Eukaryota; Viridiplantae; Streptophyta; Magnoliopsida; Poales; Poaceae
Description: long non-coding RNA (TAES_LNC000262)
Source: RNAcentral
UCAAUAUGAACAUAAUCAAAUCUAGAUGACAAAAAUAUCAUACAAAGGGUGGCAUUAGAGGACCAAGGACAAAGGUUCUUGAUCCGCUUCUAUUUAGUCAAUCAAAACACCUUAAUGAAGGAUAACAAUCCACAAACUGCAGAAGAGACAAUCCACGAAUUCAACCAAAGAUACUUAAACCAUACUCAUAAUGGUAAUGAUGUAACAUGUGAUUCUGUGCUAGAUCUGAUUCACCACCAAUCAGCCAGGCAUCACAUUAAUUUUCCCACUAAAGACAUGAACCAGGGUGCAGAAACCUCCUCUUCAGAACCUGAAACAAAAAAUUCACAAAACGAAUAGAUCUUCGAAGAGGAGGGGAUGAAGCGAGGGAUUUUGAAAUGAGAAAUUUUUCUAUCAACUCACUAUCAAAGGGUCAAAUAUAAUGACUAAUCAAAACUGAUACUCACUUUCAAAAUAAAUAAGAAACAAACUCAAUCCUCAUAUACUAAUAUAGUGAAAAUAAUGUGAUUCUUCAAGCACCGGACAUUUAUAAAAUUGAGAAGAAAAAGUGAGAAACCUAAUGGGUGGAUAAAUUAACCAGCCACCUAAUAUUUAUAAAAGUUAGAAUAAAUUUAAUAGUGCAUCAUGAAACAGAGUACUAUAGCAAGCAGAAAAGAUUUUCAGAUGAUCAGGAUAUGAAGAUGUUCCCAACUUCACCUCGUGCAAAGGCCUGCGCCAUGGCGCCUCCUGCGAAUAUGUUCACAACAUCGACCCUCUAUUUAGGACAGCCAUCCGGCUCCCUGUAAAGCAUGAAGCAGACAUACUCGCACAUUGUCGAUUGCUCUGGUUGCUCUUCUUCCUCAGACGACGAGUCACUUGUUAGCUAUUAAAAAUCAUGAAUUAGACUAAUCUAGCAGCCAACUGAAAAUAAUUGGUAAGACUAUUCUGUAUUUCUCAAAAGGCAUCUCAAUUACCAAAUUAAUUAGACUAACCUAACAGCCAGCUGUAGGCUACAUGAAGCAUGAGCUUACCAAAUGAGGAAUUGACCUCCUACUGAAAGGAGCACAUGCUCAUGUAGUUGUUGAACUCGUCUCAAUUAACAUAUGAAUUAUACUAAUCUACAACUAAGAGGAAGUCGUAGGAAGCAGCAGCUUACCAGAUGAGGGCUUGUCCUCCUAAUAAGAGAAGAUCAUGCUCAUUCAGUUGUUGAAUUCUUCUUCCUGCCCCUGCUUCAAACAUGUUUUGCUACUGCCAUCCCUAAGUGUGCAGUGGCAGUUGUCUUCAAAUCAAGGGCUUUUGGAUUAAAUAAAAAUCAAGAACAAACAAAUAACGCAAGAAGUGCUUGUUAAAAUGUAAGUUUUGAUAUCCAACAACUAUUCCUCCCGAUAGUUGAGGACAUAAGCACUCAUUUACUGAAUAAUUAAUGACUGGGACAUGUGUACUAAUGAACCUCCAUGACACAGUUUGAUAACAAUGUUCCAGUGAAUAUACGACAAAGAAACGUACAUGAACACUUCCUGAAACCUGAUCCAAUUGUUUGCUAGCUACGUACAUCAAGCAACAAAUCUUCCAUCCCUGUAAAUCAGUGAGUAACAUUCACGAAAAAUGAGAAGAAGAAAAGCACAACCAAUACAUGAGCCAAGCUUAAACCAUGCUAUCCAUUUUACUGGUCCUAUCUGAAAAUGUAAAUUUACUGACACUCCAGGAUUAGACUAUCUUAUCUGGUAAGAUUCCCCUAAACUAAAGAUGUAUUUGUAACUGCAAUACUGCAUAGAUUUAAACUAAAUGACAAAGAGCACUAAAAAUACUAUCAUAUGACCGUUUGAGAAAAAAAAGAUAGCUAAAAUCUUGAUGGCUACUGGGCAGAUCAUUUAUAC